AACAGCUCAAAUUUGAAAUCUGGCUCCUCUGGGGGUCCGAGUUGUAAUUUGUAGAGGAUGCUUCGGGCAAGGCAGUGGUCUAAUUUGCUUGGAACAGCAAGUCAGAGAGGGUGAGAGUCCCGUCUGGGAUCGCCAGCCGCGUCCGGGUGAAGCUCCUUCGACGAGUCGAGUUGUUUGGGAAUGCAGCUCUAAAUGGGUGGUAAAUUUCAUCUAAAGCUAAAUAUUGGCCAGAGACCGAUAGCGCACAAGUAGAGUGAUCGAAAGAUGAAAAGCACUUUGAAAAGAGAGUUAAACAGUAUGUGAAAUUGUUGAAAGGGAAGCGCUUGCAACCAGACUUGCGUGUGACGGUUCCCCCAGCCUCCUGGCCGGGCUACUCCGUCAUCUCCAGGCCAGCAUCGGUUUGGGUGGUCGGUGAAAGACCGUGGGAAUGUAUCUACCUCCGGGUCGACUUACAGCCCAGGGUGCAAUGCGGCCCACCCGGACCGAGGAACGCGCUUCGGCUCGGAUGCUGGCGUAAUGGUUGUAAGCGGCCCGUCUUGAAACACGGACCAAGGAGUCUAACAUCUAUGCGAGUGUUUGGGUGUCAAGCCCCUGCGCGUAAUGAAAGUGAACGGAGGUGAGAACCCCUCCAGGGGUGCAUUAUCGACCGAUCCUGAUGUCUUCGGAUGGAUUUGAGUAAGAGCAUAGCUGUUGGGACCCGAAAGGUACGUUACUCCUUUUAUAUCCAUUCCUUUUUUUUGUUUGUUUUGAAGAUCUAUAUGCUAACUUAUGCUUGUUGAAAGAUGGUGAACUAUGCCUGAAUAGGGUGAAGCCAGAGGAAACUCUGGUGGAGGCUCGCAGCGGUUCUGACGUGCAAAUCGAUCGUCAAAUUUGGGCAUAGGGGCGAAAGACUAAUCGAACCAUCCGCAUGGCAUCUUGUAAAGAAACAGAUGUGUGAUCUUCGCAGGAUUUAUUCUUAUGGGAGUAUUGCAUUAUCGGUACAUCUUUAAGCGUUGCCAGGUGGUUAAUCUCCUAACGGUCGGUUGGGUCAGUCUGAUACCUUGGUAUUGGGCGACGUCGUCAGUCUUCGGGGAUGUCCUUACGGCUAUCCGAAGCCGUCCUUUUGUUGGGACGGUUCACAGACUAGACAGUGACGGCCGGAGCCUUUUGACCGGCGACGGUAAUUAUAUAGUCGAGUAAAGUUGUUGGAUCUUGCGAGUAUUUCAACCAGAAUACUCGGUAGACCGUACGUGAUUAUGUACGCCUUAUCUGCCUUGUAGGCUUCUUUGAGGUUGGUCUUGAGAGAACCCCGUAGCUUUUGAACGCUGGUAGCUGGUUCCUGUCGAAGUUUCCCUCAGGAUAGCAGUAACGUUUUCAGUUUUAUGAGGUAAAGCGAAUGAUUAGAGGCCUUGGGGUUGAAACAACCUUAACCUAUUCUCAAACUUUAAAUAUGUAAGAAGUCCUUGUUACUUGGUUGAAC
RNAcentral lists this ribosomal RNA (1459 nucleotides) under Trimmatothele perquisita. Its description in RNAcentral is "eukaryotic LSU rRNA". It matches the Rfam family "Eukaryotic large subunit ribosomal RNA", at positions 103 to 1100 of the family's 3401-position model. The record is from RNAcentral. Lineage: Eukaryota; Fungi; Ascomycota; Eurotiomycetes; Verrucariales; Verrucariaceae.